RNAcentral lists this ribosomal RNA (253 nucleotides) under uncultured bacterium. Its description in RNAcentral is "partial 16S ribosomal RNA". It matches the Rfam family "Bacterial small subunit ribosomal RNA", at positions 524 to 776 of the family's 1533-position model. The record is from RNAcentral.
UACAGAGGGGGCAAGCGUUGUCCGGAAUCACUGGGCGUAAAGGGCGCGUAGGCGGCUUUUCAAGCGUGCGGUGAAAGCUCGGGGCUUAACUCCGAGUCUGCCGUGCGAACUGGGAGGCUUGAGUCUGGUAGAGGUCGAUGGAAUUCCGGGUGUAGCGGUGGAAUGCGUAGAGAUCCGGAAGAACACCGGUGGCGAAGGCGGUCGACUGGGCCAGUACUGACGCUGAGGCGCGACAGCGUGGGGAGCAAACAGG